GUCUUCGUGGUGUAGUGGUCAGCACGCUCGACGCGUAACCGAGAGAUCCGUGGUUCGAUUCCCGGCGAAGGCG
RNAcentral lists this transfer RNA (73 nucleotides) under Stegodyphus mimosarum. It matches the Rfam family "tRNA". From Rfam's summary of the family: Transfer RNA (tRNA) molecules are approximately 80 nucleotides in length. Their secondary structure includes four short double-helical elements and three loops (D, anti-codon, and T loops). Further hydrogen bonds mediate the characteristic L-shaped molecular structure. tRNAs have two regions of fundamental functional importance: the anti-codon, which is responsible for specific mRNA codon recognition, and the 3' end, to which the tRNAs corresponding amino acid is attached (by aminoacyl-tRNA synthetases). tRNAs cope with the degeneracy of the genetic code in two manners: having more than one tRNA (with a specific anti-codon) for a particular amino acid; and 'wobble' base-pairing, i.e. permitting non-standard base-pairing at the 3rd anti-codon position. Lineage: Eukaryota; Metazoa; Arthropoda; Arachnida; Araneae; Eresidae. The record is from Rfam by way of RNAcentral.